RNAcentral lists this microRNA precursor (54 nucleotides) under Ornithorhynchus anatinus (platypus). Its description in RNAcentral is "Oan-Mir-1419-P1_pre stem-loop". Lineage: Eukaryota; Metazoa; Chordata; Mammalia; Monotremata; Ornithorhynchidae. The record is from RNAcentral.
AUGCUGGGAGACGUCAUCACGUGCUACCUCCGGUGAUGUCAGCACCCAGCACCA